CCUACGGGUGGCAGCAGUCGAGAAUCAUUCACAAUGGGGGAAACCCUGAUGGUGCGACGCCGCGUGGGGGAAUGAAGGUCUUCGGAUUGUAAACCCCUGUCAUGUGGGAGCAAAUUAAAAAGAUAGUACCACAAGAGGAAGAGACGGCUAACUCUGUGCCAGCAGCCGCGGUAAUACAGAGGUCUCAAGCGUUGUUCGGAAUCACUGGGCGUAAGGCGUGCGUAGGCUGUUUCGUAAGUCGUGUGUGAAAGGCGCGGGCUCAACCCGCGGACGGCCCAUGAUACUGCGAGACUAGAGUAAUGGAGGGGGAACCGGAAUUCUCGGUGUAGCAGUGAAAUGCGUAGAUAGCGAGAGGAACACUCGUGGCGAAGGCGGGUUCCUGGACAUUAACUGACGCUGAGGCACGAAGGCCAGGGGAGCGAAAGGGAUUAGAUACCCGUGUAGUC
Molecule: ribosomal RNA, 446 nt
Filed under: uncultured bacterium
Lineage: Bacteria
Description: partial 16S ribosomal RNA
Rfam family: Bacterial small subunit ribosomal RNA
Source: RNAcentral